UACGAAGGGGGCUAGCGUUGCUCGGAAUCACUGGGCGUAAAGGGCGCGUAGGCGGCCGAUCAAGUCAGGGGUGAAAGCCUGUGGCUCAACCACAGAAUUGCCUUUGAUACUGUUUGGCUAGAGACCGGAAGAGGUUAGUGGAACUGCGAGUGUAGAGGUGAAAUUCGUAGAUAUUCGCAAGAACACCAGUGGCGAAGGCGGCUAACUGGUCCGGUUCUGACGCUGAGGCGCGAAAGCGUGGGGAGCAAACAGG
RNAcentral lists this ribosomal RNA (253 nucleotides) under uncultured bacterium. RNAcentral's name for it is "partial 16S ribosomal RNA". It matches the Rfam family "Bacterial small subunit ribosomal RNA", at positions 524 to 776 of the family's 1533-position model. The record is from RNAcentral.